Betaproteobacteria bacterium is the source of this 172-nucleotide non-coding RNA. The record is from Rfam. Lineage: Bacteria; Pseudomonadati; Pseudomonadota; Betaproteobacteria.
UCCACUGCGAGGUGGAAUCUGAAGGAAGCUGUAGGCAAAGCGCUGGCGCGAGGAACACGAAGCGGAUAGAGGCGCUGUGUCCGGGUGAGACGGCAGAUACGUGUUCGGCAGCUUCGUUUCCGCCGCUCCCGAACCACGCGACGUGGAUCUCGCGUUGGUGAUGGCGGGCGAU